This 72-nucleotide transfer RNA is filed under the name Methanobacteriota archaeon. RNAcentral's name for it is "Euryarchaeota archaeon tRNA-Arg". It matches the Rfam family "tRNA". From Rfam's summary of the family: Transfer RNA (tRNA) molecules are approximately 80 nucleotides in length. Their secondary structure includes four short double-helical elements and three loops (D, anti-codon, and T loops). Further hydrogen bonds mediate the characteristic L-shaped molecular structure. tRNAs have two regions of fundamental functional importance: the anti-codon, which is responsible for specific mRNA codon recognition, and the 3' end, to which the tRNAs corresponding amino acid is attached (by aminoacyl-tRNA synthetases). tRNAs cope with the degeneracy of the genetic code in two manners: having more than one tRNA (with a specific anti-codon) for a particular amino acid; and 'wobble' base-pairing, i.e. permitting non-standard base-pairing at the 3rd anti-codon position. RNAcentral also lists the same sequence under 1 other name. Lineage: Archaea; Methanobacteriati; Methanobacteriota. The record is from RNAcentral.
GGAGGCAUGGUGUAACGGAGAGCAUCGGGGGUUUCGAACCCCUGGAUCCCGGUUCGAUUCCGGGUGCCUCCA